CACGUAGGGCGCAAGCGUUGUCCGGAAUUAUUGGGCGUGAAGAGCUCGUAGGCGGUCUGUUGCGUCCGCUGUGAAAACUCGGGGCUUAACCCCGAGCCUGCAGUGGAUACGGGCAGACUAGAGGUAGGUAGGGGAGAAUGGAAUUCCCGGUGUAGCGGUGAAAUGCGCAGAUAUCGGGAGGAACACCGGUGGCGAAGGCGGUUCUCUGGGCCUUACCUGACGCUGAGGAGCGAAAGCGUGGGGAGCGAACAGG
Molecule: ribosomal RNA, 253 nt
Filed under: uncultured bacterium
Lineage: Bacteria
Description: partial 16S ribosomal RNA
Rfam family: Bacterial small subunit ribosomal RNA
Source: RNAcentral